AUUGAACGCUGGCGGCAUGCCUUACACAUGCAAGUCGAACGGCAGCACGGGAGCAAUCCUGGUGGCGAGUGGCGAACGGGUGAGUAAUACAUCGGAACGUGCCCAGUUGUGGGGGAUAGCCCGGCGAAAGCCGGAUUAAUACCGCAUACGACCUACGGGUGAAAGCGGGGGAUCGCAAGACCUCGCGCAAUUGAAGCGGCCGAUGUCAGAUUAGCUAGUUGGUGGGGUAAAAGCCUACCAAGGCGACGAUCUGUAGCUGGUCUGAGAGGACGACCAGCCACACUGGGACUGAGACACGGCCCAGACUCCUACGGGAGGCAGCAGUGGGGAAUUUUGGACAAUGGGCGCAAGCCUGAUCCAGCCAUGCCGCGUGUGGGAAGAAGGCCUUCGGGUUGUAAACCACUUUUGUCAGGGAAGAAACGGUCUAACCUAAUACGUUGGACUAAUGACGGUACCUGAAGAAUAAGCACCGGCUAACUACGUGCCAGCAGCCGCGGUAAUACGUAGGGUGCAAGCGUUAAUCGGUAUUACUGGGCGUAAAGCGUGCGCAGGCGGCUUUGCAAGACAGAUGUGAAAUCCCCGGGCUCAACCUGGGAACUGCAUUUGUGACUGCAAGGCUAGAGUACGGUAGAGGGGGAUGGAAUUCCGCGUGUAGCAGUGAAAUGCGUAGAUAUGCGGAGGAACACCGAUGGCGAAGGCAAUCCCCUGGACCUGUACUGACGCUCAUGCACGAAAGCGUGGGGAGC
RNAcentral lists this ribosomal RNA (746 nucleotides) under uncultured soil bacterium. Its description in RNAcentral is "bacterial SSU rRNA". It matches the Rfam family "Bacterial small subunit ribosomal RNA", at positions 28 to 769 of the family's 1533-position model. The record is from RNAcentral.